Zonotrichia albicollis (white-throated sparrow) is the source of this 330-nucleotide non-coding RNA. NCBI's taxonomy places the organism in Eukaryota, Metazoa, Chordata, Aves, Passeriformes, Passerellidae. The record is from RefSeq and is a predicted model, not a curated record.
ACUGUCCUGCUCCCUUUGUAAAGCUGCCUGUGAGAGAUUGGAGAAAUGGGAUGGACAUGACUCAAUACACAAAAGAUAUGAUUCAACAGCAGCAUCUUCCCAUGUGGUAUCCAAAGCGAUGAAAUUGACUCUGAAAGUAGUGCCAGUGUUCUCCUCUGUUGGCCCCUCUUCCAUUUCUGGAUUUCCAGAGGAUGUUUUUCUAAAGACCUGUGAUUCGUACAUGCCAAAUCAGCAGGUGAGAUCCUAUUGAGCAUCCUAAGGUCUGACAGUCCUAUCAAUCAUAACAAAACUGCCUCAGGGGCUGAGUAAGGACUUGCAAGACAUCUUGCC